Molecule: non-coding RNA, 283 nt
Organism: Cinara cedri
Lineage: Eukaryota; Metazoa; Arthropoda; Insecta; Hemiptera; Aphididae
Source: the annotation of a GenBank genome assembly
UUUUAUCAUUACCAGCUGUCGACCUGAUGCAGCCCCAUUUGUUGCCUCUUACUACGGGUAGAGGUACUUAACAUAACCUAGGUGAGGUUCCUUCAGUUCAUAGGUACAAUACCAGAGACUUCACAUUCAAUGAUAACACUGAAAAAUGGAAAUCGAAAAAUUUCCUCCCUAAAGUACUACCUAAGAAAAUUUCCUUUUAGUAAGGGUCUAGAUCAUAUACAUUUAAGUAAACUUUCUAAACAAACUAAUUUUUUACAAAAAAACAUUUAUAAUAUUAUCAUAG